UUGCCUUAGUAACGGCGAGUGAAGCGGCAAAAGCUCAAAUUUGAAAUCGGCCACCAGGUCGAGUUGUAAUUUGUAGAUUGUAUCUUGAGAGCGGAUUAAAGUCUGUUGGAACACAGCGCCUUAGAGGGUGACAGCCCCGUAAAAUCUAUUCUCAUUGUAAGAUACUUUCGAAGAGUCGAGUUGUUUGGGAAUGCAGCUCUAAGUGGGAGGUAAAUUCCUUCUAAAGCUAAAUAUUGACGAGAGACCGAUAGCGAACAAGUACUGUGAAGGAAAGAUGAAAAGCACUUUGAAAAGAGAGUGAAAAAGUACGUGAAAUUGUUAAAAGGGAAGGGUAUUGAAUCAGACUUGGUGCUGUUGUUCAACUGUGUUUCGGCAUAGUGUACUCAGCAGUACUAGGCCAAGGUGGGGUGUUUGGGAGUGAAAAAGAAGUUGGAAGGUAACUCUUCGGAGUGUUAUAGCCUACUUUCAUAGCUCCUCAGGCGCCUCAGGACUGCGCUUCGGCAAGGACCUUGGCAUAAUGAUUCUAUACCGCCCGUCUUGAAACACGGACAA
This 552-nucleotide ribosomal RNA is filed under the name Geotrichum candidum. RNAcentral's name for it is "eukaryotic LSU rRNA". It matches the Rfam family "Eukaryotic large subunit ribosomal RNA", at positions 75 to 668 of the family's 3401-position model. Lineage: Eukaryota; Fungi; Ascomycota; Dipodascomycetes; Dipodascales; Dipodascaceae. The record is from RNAcentral.